AAAGCGUGCGCAGGCGGUAAUGUAAGACAGAUGUGAAAUCCCCGGGCUCAACCUGGGAACUGCAUUUGUGACUGCAUUGCUGGAGUGCGGCAGAGGGGGAUGGAAUUCCGCGUGUAGCAGUGAAAUGCGUAGAUAUGCGGAGGAACACCGAUGGCGAAGGCAAUCCCCUGGGCCUGCACUGACGCUCAUGCACGAAAGCGUGGGGAGCAAACAGGAUUAGAUACCCGUGU
This 230-nucleotide ribosomal RNA is filed under the name uncultured bacterium. RNAcentral describes it as "partial 16S ribosomal RNA". It matches the Rfam family "Bacterial small subunit ribosomal RNA", at positions 562 to 791 of the family's 1533-position model. The record is from RNAcentral.